CCUUUGUACACACCGCCCGUCGCUACUACCGAUUGAAUGGCUCAGUGAGGCGUCCGGACUGGCCCAGAGAGGUGGGCAACACUCACCCAGGGCCGGAAAGUUGUCCAAACUUGGUCAUUUAGAGG
This 125-nucleotide ribosomal RNA is filed under the name Hypocreales sp. Its description in RNAcentral is "partial small subunit ribosomal RNA". It matches the Rfam family "Eukaryotic small subunit ribosomal RNA", at positions 1657 to 1779 of the family's 1831-position model. Lineage: Eukaryota; Fungi; Ascomycota; Sordariomycetes; Hypocreales. The record is from RNAcentral.